This 73-nucleotide transfer RNA is filed under the name Pseudovibrio exalbescens. RNAcentral describes it as "Nesiotobacter exalbescens tRNA". It matches the Rfam family "tRNA". From Rfam's summary of the family: Transfer RNA (tRNA) molecules are approximately 80 nucleotides in length. Their secondary structure includes four short double-helical elements and three loops (D, anti-codon, and T loops). The record is from Rfam by way of RNAcentral. Lineage: Bacteria; Pseudomonadati; Pseudomonadota; Alphaproteobacteria; Hyphomicrobiales; Stappiaceae.
GCCGCUGUAGCUCAGUUGGUAGAGCAACGCAUUCGUAAUGCGUGGGUCGUAGGUUCGAGUCCUAUCAGCGGCA